GCAGGAUUGAUGUCAGCUCCUC
This 22-nucleotide non-coding RNA is filed under the name Arabidopsis thaliana (thale cress). The record is from RNAcentral. Lineage: Eukaryota; Viridiplantae; Streptophyta; Magnoliopsida; Brassicales; Brassicaceae.